Molecule: ribosomal RNA, 253 nt
Filed under: uncultured bacterium
Lineage: Bacteria
Description: partial 16S ribosomal RNA
Rfam family: Bacterial small subunit ribosomal RNA
Source: RNAcentral
GACGAACCUUGCAAACGUUAUUCGGAAUUACUGGGCUUAAAGGGUGCGUAGGCUGUGCAGAAAGUUGGGUGUGAAAUCCCUCGGCUCAACCGAGGAAUGGCAUUCAAAACUACUGUGCUAGAGGAAUACAGAGGUAAGCGGAACUUCGGGUGGAGCGGUGAAAUGCGUUGAUAUCCGAAGGAACACCGGUGGCGAAAGCGGCUUACUGGGUAUUUUCUGACGCUGAUGCACGAAAGCCAGGGUAGCGAACGGG